This 1155-nucleotide long non-coding RNA is filed under the name Homo sapiens (human). Its description in RNAcentral is "novel transcript". The record is from RNAcentral. Lineage: Eukaryota; Metazoa; Chordata; Mammalia; Primates; Hominidae.
CAGGCAAGGACUGGUUUGUCCAAGCUGGAAGAGCAAAGAGUGAAAGGGCCAGGGAGGAGGAGGCUGCUUUGGGGUCAGUAGGAGCUCACAUUGGCAGACUAGGACAUCAGAGAGGAACCCCUUUCUGCAGGACAGCAGAGACACAGUGAAUGGACAUCUGGGGCCAAAUUCCUCCAGCGCACGGGGACCCUGAGGGCACGAAAGCCAGAAAGAGGACCCCGCUGUGUCCCUGGCCUCCUACUGCACACUCCUGUGGCUUGAACAUCUCCAUCAGCUGUUGCUUUUUUUUACCUUGUACCUCACUUUACCCAUUUUAGCCUAAAAACAAGAACGUCUGCCCUCUUCCUUCUUAACCAAGACUGAGAUGAGGACAAGUCAGACCCUUCAGACCCAUCGUUUCAGGGACCAGCAGCUCCAGCCUGAAUGAGAAGCACGUCCUCCUGGGAGUUACGUCAGCAGCCUGACCUUCCAUCUUCCUCCUCUAAAGAAGCGUCCCUGCCACCCUGAGCACGAAGCCCUCGGGUUCCUAAAGGCCGAGGCGCUUCUUCUCAUUUACUUCCCUUGAGGAAGAAAGACCAGCCCAUCCACCCUCAUUUCCCACCGAAGGGCAUCGCAAAUAAAGUUUGCCCACGCAACCAGGCCACCACCAUUAAUUUCUCUCUGCCCUGCUCUUACAUUCUCCUCAAGGUUUUCAGUCCCCUAGAGAGGCUCCCUUCCCUCUUUUCUUUCCUUCCUCCAGCCCCCCUUUUCACCUCCCUCCACCAUUGUUUGAGGUUAAGAAGCAUGCUACGGUGUUCUAUAAAUCACUUGGCAAGAGUAGACGACAAAAGCAAAAUAUAAUUCAGAUUAAAGUCAUCCUCCCGCUGAAAUGAUAGUUUCUUAAAUAAAUGGCGAUGCUGCCUAUCAAUCUUGCUGGCAACUGGUCCUCUCAUAUUCAUCUUUCUGGGGGUGAUUUAGGAUCCACCUGGGUCCUCCGAGAAGAUUCUCCCAUCAUUUCCUUCCCGUCUCUCUGGAUCUUGCUGCUGGGCUUGGCGCAGUUGACAAAUUCUCCAAGUAAUCCCUCAAAAGAUUGGAGAAAUGCUCCGAACGCUCCAUUAAACUUAUUUUCCAUGCUUUAAGAGACCCAAAACUAUGUCCAAUAAAUAAGUGUUCCCU